CAGUAGCCGCGGUAAAACGUAGGGUGCAAGCGUUAAUCGGAAUUACUGGGCGUAAAGCGUGCGCAGGCGGUUCUAUAAGACAGAUGUGAAAUCCCCGGGCUCAACCUGGGGACUGCAUUUGUGACUGUAAAGCUGGAGUGCGGCAGAGGGGGAUGGAAUUCCGCGUGUAGCAGUGAAAUGCGUAGAUAUGCGGAGGAACACCGAUGGCGAAGGCAAUCCCCUGGGCCUGCACUGACGCUCAUGCACGAAAGCGUGGGGAGCGAACAGGAUUAGAUACCCCGGUAGUCCCUGUCUCUUAUAC
RNAcentral lists this ribosomal RNA (301 nucleotides) under uncultured bacterium. RNAcentral's name for it is "partial 16S ribosomal RNA". It matches the Rfam family "Bacterial small subunit ribosomal RNA", at positions 509 to 807 of the family's 1533-position model. The record is from RNAcentral.